Molecule: small nuclear RNA, 159 nt
Filed under: Propithecus coquereli (Coquerel's sifaka)
Lineage: Eukaryota; Metazoa; Chordata; Mammalia; Primates; Indriidae
Description: U1 spliceosomal RNA (ENSPCOG00000012997.1)
Rfam family: U1 spliceosomal RNA
About the family: U1 is a small nuclear RNA (snRNA) component of the spliceosome (involved in pre-mRNA splicing).
Source: RNAcentral
ACACUCACCUGGUGGGGAGAUACCAUGAGCAUGAAGGUGGUUUUCCUAGGGCAAGGCUUGUCCAUUGCACUUUGGCUGUGCUGACUUGUGAUGUUGCUGCAUGUGGGAAACGUGACUAUGGAAUUUGUGCUAAUUGGAGACUGUGUUCAUGCUCUCCCC